GAUGAAGAACGCAGCGAAACGCGAUAAGUAAUGUGAAUUCCAGAAUUCCGUGAAUCAUCGAAUCUUUGAACGCACAUUGCGCCCUCUGGUAUUCCGGGGGGCAUGCCUGUCCGAGCGUCAUUUGCAACCCUCAAGCCCGGCUUGUGUGAUGGGUGCCGUCCCCUACGGGACGCGCCCCGAAGGCAAUGGCGGCGUCGCGGUUAUCCGAUCAGCCAAAGUGUAUGGGGCUUUGUCACUCACUUUACGGCCCGGACCGGCGCCAGUCCGAAUCAAUCUUUUUUCUAAAGUUGACCUCGGAUCAGGUAGGGAUACCCGCUGAACUUAAGCAUAUCAAUAAGCGGAGGA
This 345-nucleotide unclassified non-coding RNA is filed under the name soil metagenome. RNAcentral describes it as "partial contains 5.8S ribosomal RNA, internal transcribed spacer 2, and large subunit ribosomal RNA". The stretch from base 1 to 120 matches the Rfam family "5.8S ribosomal RNA", at positions 35 to 154 of the family's 154-position model. The record is from RNAcentral.